CUUCACUUUAUUUUUAGUUUCCCAUAACCAAUCCAAAUAUAACAAAGAAAACUGAAAUUAUAAAAACUAUGUAAUGUUACAUUCCUACAUUAACCUUCUUCGAAACCUAAUUUCUCAGGAAAGUGAUAUUCCAGUUGAGAAUAUUGAAUUCUGGCAACCAAACACUCCCUUCGUGGAUUUCAUCCUUCAAUUUUCAGCCAUAAAAAGUAAAUGACAGCUCUAGCAGAAGUACCCAACUAGAUGGAAAAAAAACUGAAUCUUAAGAUCCUUUGCUAGCUGCACAUCCAUGUUCUUAACAUGUUCAAGGCAUUUACUCAUUUGCUCAAGCAAUCUACAUAACUCGGGUAUUCAGUAAAAGUUUUUAGAAGUUGUAAUGCAUGUCUAAUGCUCAAGGUGGAAUACAUAUUCUGUCAAGCGCUGUAGUUUACUGGAAUCCAGUUUCUGCUCUGUCACAAUCAGCUGCUUCUUCACAGUUAGCAUCCCUGAUGCAGGAUCAACAAUCCAACCUUGCUGCAUUACAUAGUUUGCAGCAUCAUCCUCAUUCAUUCCCAAAAAGCGAGCAGUGUCUUCGAUGCUUAUUGUUGAAUAAGCAGACAGCAACAACUGAAACAUCCUCUUGGUGUAAACCUCUGCAUAUAAGAAUGAUCAAAACAGUUAUGGAGCCAACAAUCUCAGCACGUAACAGCAAAACCAACGAUGGUUUCACAUUUGAAAAGUCUGAAAUAAAAAAGAACAUCUGGAAGCUUUUCAUCACAUUGACAAUUAAAACGCAAAUGAAUACACGUUGAAUUCAAAGUUGAACCAGUUCCAAUGUUUUGUUGCAUGCCACUCACUGAUACGUGGCAUUUGAUUUCAGAAAUAAUAGCUUCAAAACAUCCAAGAGCUUGUUCAAACUAAGAAAACAUUAAGAAUAUUGAAUAGUUUCUUCUCUUACAGUUUCACAAUUUUUUUUAAUCCAAACAUAUGUUCUGUAACAGAACUUUUAGGAAGGUUUAGCUGGUGUCCCAGGACAUGAGUUUGAUUUAGCACCAUGAAUUCAUCAUACUAUGCAAGUAAAUAAAUCUCUUAUCUCUCAAAGAUGAUGAAAUUAAUGAGCUUCUAGAUCCAUUUUCUGCAUUUCUGUUUAACAGAUACCCAAAGAAUCUCCCUUCCUCAGGAUGAAGGAAGAAAGGAAACUCUUUUAGUUAAGUUUGAAAUAAGCUAAGGGAGAAGAGAUGUUUGGGGCUACAAGGAGCAAUUAGAGCUUGGGGAACUAUACUUUUUUGUUUGCUCCUGAAAAACCAAACCAAUGAGUAAAAAAUCAUCAUUCUAUAUAGCAUGAGGUUCCCCAUAUUGCAUGAUAUAGGGAGAAAUAGAUCUACAUAGCCUUUCCUUUACACAGCAUGAGAGAUUAGGGUCUCGCAUUCCAAAUUCGUGCUUCUAUAUAGACAUCCAUUCAUUUUAUUAACAUUCAUGACAUUCAAAACAAAGUAAUAUCCAUCAAUCAUCAAGCAACUAAAACUAUAUGAACAUAUUAAUUGUGUUACAAGAUUUGUGGAAAAGUCACCAGAAAAUGCAGCAACAAGAACCCGAGUUUCUUGACUCCAAUCAAAACCACGGAUAGCCUCAUACACGCCUGCAUAGUCACGUGUCCAUAAUUUCUGACCAAUUCUCCAAGCUGCUACCACUUCCGGUUGGUUUUCUUUGACAGCUGAGGGUAUUGAUUUCCAGAGAAAUCGAGCACUGUUACUGCAUGAUCAUGAUCAUCACUCAACAGAUGAAACCCCCUAAACUACACUAAAAUCCCAUAAAUACAAAAUCCUCUCCAGCUUUAAAACAACAAACAACUCAAAAUAAUUGCAUAAUAACUCCACCCAAAAAGUAAAAAAUUGCAAAACAUACAAUCCCUUCAAAAUCUCUAAAUGCAAACCAGUAGCUUUCAAAACCCUCUAUUAAUCACCAGCAAAAACACAAA
RNAcentral lists this unclassified non-coding RNA (1954 nucleotides) under Hevea brasiliensis (rubber tree). Lineage: Eukaryota; Viridiplantae; Streptophyta; Magnoliopsida; Malpighiales; Euphorbiaceae. The record is from RNAcentral.